GACGAACGCUGGCGGCGUGCUUAACACAUGCAAGUCGAACGGACAGGCCCUGCUUUUGUGGGGUGCUCGAGUGGCGAACGGGUGAGUAACACGUGAGUAACCUGCCCUUGACUUUGGGAUAACUUCAGGAAACUGGGGCUCAUACCGGAUAGGAGCUCCUGCUGCAUGGUGGGGGUUGGAAAGUUUCGGCGGUUGGGGAUGGACUCGCGGCUUAUCAGCUUGUUGGUGGGGUAGUGGCUUACCAAGGCUUUGACGGGUAGCCGGCCUGAGAGGGUGACCGGCCACAUGGGGACUGAGAGACGGCCCAGACUCCUACAGGAGGCAGCAGUGGGGAAUAUUGCACAAUGGGCGGAAGCCUGAUGCAGCAACGCCGCGUGCGGGAUGACGGCCUUCGGGUUGUAAACCGCUUUCGCCUGUGACGAAGCGUGAGUGACGGUAAUGGGUAAAGAAGCACCGGCUAACUACGUG
RNAcentral lists this ribosomal RNA (468 nucleotides) under uncultured bacterium. RNAcentral's name for it is "partial 16S ribosomal RNA". It matches the Rfam family "Bacterial small subunit ribosomal RNA", at positions 28 to 507 of the family's 1533-position model. The record is from RNAcentral.